This is a long non-coding RNA of Bombus terrestris (buff-tailed bumblebee), 513 nucleotides long. RefSeq lists it as uncharacterized. Lineage: Eukaryota; Metazoa; Arthropoda; Insecta; Hymenoptera; Apidae. The record is from RefSeq and is a predicted model, not a curated record. The transcript is spliced from 2 exons.
UCUUUGUUCUUUCUAUCUCUCUUAUAAAAUUUCGUAAUUAAAAACUUACAUUAUAAAUUCGCUAAACAACUGGCGAUGAUCUUCAAUCUAGAAAUAACUGUUGAAAUAAAGGCGUCUCUUGGUCGCGGUAUAUUCUUAAAUCGGUUAACAAGGAAGGCAGAAGCCAGUAAAGCCACUUUAUAGGUCAGCCCGAUGUGUUUGUGAUUAUCAGUCUCUUUUCCCUGAGCCUGCAUGCAUUAUAAUUUCAUCUGGUCGAGUUGGUGUCUACGAGGACGACGGGGUGUUGUAAAAGAAUAAAUCGCUAAAAAUAAAUAGGAAUUGCCGAGCGUGUAUGUCCUCUGCCCCGUGGAACCGGAUCAACGUGUUCGUUACCGAUGUUCCUGCAUUCUUGCUGCUGCACUGUCGUAAUUGACUUUUUGGCGCCGGCCGGUUCCGACUCGCCGUUGCGAGUCCAUCGACUAAAGUGCUAUUUUCUACCGAAUCUGAAGUGAAGAAAGCCAUGUUCGAUGCAUA